Molecule: ribosomal RNA, 465 nt
Filed under: uncultured bacterium
Lineage: Bacteria
Description: partial 16S ribosomal RNA
Rfam family: Bacterial small subunit ribosomal RNA
Source: RNAcentral
GACGAACGCUGGCGGCGUGCUUAACACAUGCAAGUCGAACGGAAAGGCCCUGCUUGCAGGGUACUCGAGUGGCGAACGGGUGAGUAACACGUGGGUGAUCUGCCCUGCACUUCGGGAUAAGCCUGGGAAACUGGGUCUAAUACCGGAUAGGAGCCAUUUUUAGUGUGAAGGUUGGAAAGUUUUUUCGGUGUAGGAUGAGCUCGCGGCCUAUCAGCUUGUUGGUGGGGUAAUGGCCUACCAAGGCGGCGACGGGUAGCCGGCCUGAGAGGGUGGACGGCCACAUUGGGACUGAGAUACGGCCCAGACUCCUGCGGGGGGCAGCAGUGGGGAAUAUUGCACAAUGGGCGCAAGCCUGAUGCAGCGACGCCGCGUGGGGGAUGACGGCCUUCGGGUUGUAAACUCCUUUCGCUAGGGACGAAGCUUUUUGUGACGGUACCUAGAUAAGAAGCACCGGCUAACUACGUG